Molecule: ribosomal RNA, 504 nt
Filed under: uncultured Actinomycetes bacterium
Lineage: Bacteria; Bacillati; Actinomycetota; Actinomycetes
Description: bacterial SSU rRNA
Rfam family: Bacterial small subunit ribosomal RNA
Source: RNAcentral
UAGGGUUUGAUUCUGGCUCAGGACGAACGCUGGCGGCGGGCCUAAUACAUGCAAGUCGAACGCACUCGACCUUCGGGUCACAUGAGUGAGUGGCGAACGGGUGAGUAACACGUGAGGAACCUGCCCUGAAGACCGGAAUAACCCGAGGAAACUCGAGCUAAUACCGGAUAUCCCCAUCUGGUCGCAUGGCCUAAUGAGGAAAUGUUCAGGCGCUUCAGGAGGGUCUCACGGCCUAUCAGCUAGUUGGUGAGGUAACGGCUCACCAAGGCAUCGACGGGUAGCUGGUCUGAGAGGACGAUCAGCCACACUGGGACUGAGACACGGCUCAGACUCCUACGGGAGGCAGCAGUAGGGAAUCUUGCGCAAUGGGCGAAAGCCUGACGCAGCCACGCCGCGUGAGGGAUGAAGGCUCUCGGGUUGUAAACCUCUUUCAGCGGAGACGAAAAUGACGGUACCUGCAGAAGAAGCUCCGGCCAACUACGUGCCAGCCGCCGCGGUAAUACA